UCUUUAUUUCACGUACUCUCUCACCGGUCAGAGAGGCGAGAGAGUGUGCAAAAUGAAGAGA
This 61-nucleotide microRNA precursor is filed under the name Pristionchus pacificus. Its description in RNAcentral is "mir-8364 microRNA precursor family". It matches the Rfam family "mir-8364 microRNA precursor family". Lineage: Eukaryota; Metazoa; Nematoda; Chromadorea; Rhabditida; Neodiplogasteridae. The record is from Rfam by way of RNAcentral.